GGGCUUUUCAUUCAAUGUCUCUCUGUCUCUUCAAAUAGCAAAGGUUAAACAAGUCAAGAGGUGUCAAGAGAAGAUUCUGGAGCACACUAAGUAGAAAGAGUUUUACAACAUGCAUUCGGCAACCAUAAGCAACUAAAACAGGAGGUGGAAUAUCUAUUUUUCUGCAUCAUCUACAGUGCUUCAGAGGAGGACUGGGACUGCUUUUAGUGUGAGAACUCUAAAAUUCCAACAAAUAUGAACACUCUGUGCCCCUUAUUGCCUCUUUGCUUAUCCACUAAUUGGUGAGACUUGCUGCAUUUUCCAUAAAGAUGUUGAAGCAGUUUGGACCACCAUGGUAACAUUGUCCUGCUUAUCAGCUGUUUGUCCAGUCCUGGAGAAGCAUCAUUGUUGUCCAUCAAAAGGCUGAUCACUUUGAGAGGACAGUAUGAACAAAUUCACUAAGGUUUCAUCUGAGCAAGACAGAGCUGAUGCUGAAGAAGGAAUCUCCAGGAACAUGAAUAUCCUGGGGGGAAGAGAGAUUUCAUUUCUUAGAGAGCAUUUGCCUAUUUUUCCACA
Molecule: long non-coding RNA, 555 nt
Organism: Pseudopipra pipra
Lineage: Eukaryota; Metazoa; Chordata; Aves; Passeriformes; Pipridae
Exons: 3
Source: RefSeq, a predicted model, not a curated record